CGAAGAGCGCACAGGGGCGGUGCGCUGGACGGCGGAGCCAUCCAGUCAGAAGUCCUUCAGGGCCUCGGCCGGAAGCCAUGACAGACAGACAGGCGAUGGGAGAAACAGGAGCUCCUGGGAAGAAGCUAAAGGGAAGACUUCCAUCUCUGUCUUGUUCGGCCCAGGCUGCAAGCUCGCUGCUCAGUGGCCCCUGAUCCAGAAUCAUCCUACACGGAAAUGCUGCGUUGAGAACGCACAGUGCUCCAGUCUCCAGCUCUGCCUUGCGACACAGUCCAAGCGAUGUCACUUCUCCCUGACCCACAGGGCCCUGUCCUCCCUUCCCAGCUUCGCGGGCUAUUUCUGAAUCUUCUG
This 351-nucleotide long non-coding RNA is filed under the name Heterocephalus glaber (naked mole-rat). Its description in RNAcentral is "lncRNA (ENSHGLG00000044992.1)". The record is from RNAcentral. Lineage: Eukaryota; Metazoa; Chordata; Mammalia; Rodentia; Bathyergidae.